GGGGAUGUGUUGUAUAGGGGAUGUGUUGAGGAGGUGGGGUUGGGUGAGGUGACUGGGAAGGUGUUGUAUAGGGGAUGUGUUGAGGAGGUGGGGUUGGGUAGGUGACUGGGAAGGUGGGAUGUGUUGUAUAGGGGAUGUGUUGAGUAGGGGAUGUGUUGUAUAGGGGAUGUGUAAAGGCUUUAAAUAAAGACAAGCUGAACAAUACAAAGGACACCGCCUGGAGGUUAAAUUCACAGUUAAUGAUAAAAUAAAGCCAGAAUGUAUUUGGAUAUUAAAUAAUUCUCCGCCAUGAAAGAUGGUUCCAUAUUUGAGGAGAAGUGGGGUUACAGAGGAGGUGUCUAUUAUGUUGUAGAGGAGGUGUCUGUUGUGUUGUAGAGGAGGUGUCUGUUGUGUUAAAGAUUAUUUUAACAGGGUUGCAUGUUGUGUAACAAGGUUGCAAUGUGCGAAAGACCCUCCAGGCCAGGCUCCCCAAAAUAUCAGGUAUGUGUCAGAUGGCCAGAGCUGGCAUCCUAUCACUCUCCUGACAGGUUAAAAGGUUUGAAUUCCCAGGGUGAUGUGCACAGUAGUAUAGGACAGUGUCACUCAAACCUGCUCCUGGAGACACUCCACCCUGCAU
Esox lucius (northern pike) is the source of this 616-nucleotide long non-coding RNA. The record is from Ensembl. Lineage: Eukaryota; Metazoa; Chordata; Actinopteri; Esociformes; Esocidae.